AGGUGGGAAAUCCACAUAGAGUGCCAGUUUGAGCUCAAGCAUCUGGUACAAAGGGUCACCCAGCGGAACGGCAGUGAAGAUCUUCCCCAGGGCACUGGCACUGGGCAAGCGCUGACUGAACCCUCCUGGAAGAAGACUUAUGUAUUGGGGUUGAAGAACAUCAUGAUCUGACCUGCGUGGAUGAGGAUGAUUCUCAGUUUGCCCAGAGUCUUCCCAUAGAUGUCAUUCAGCUGCUGCAGUGUGUACAGAGUGGAGCCCCCGUUCCCUUCACACACACAAGAUUCUGAGGAACCCAAGAAGUAGAACCCGGCGACCAGACAAUGCAGCUUAAUUAAAUAAUUUAAAACUUUAUUGAAGGAGGUAGAAAAUAAUUUGUGUCAGAGAGGAAACAUCUCUUCAUU
This is a long non-coding RNA of Betta splendens (Siamese fighting fish), 401 nucleotides long. RefSeq lists it as uncharacterized. Lineage: Eukaryota; Metazoa; Chordata; Actinopteri; Anabantiformes; Osphronemidae. The transcript has 3 exons. The record is from RefSeq and is a predicted model, not a curated record.